Molecule: ribosomal RNA, 765 nt
Filed under: uncultured bacterium
Lineage: Bacteria
Description: bacterial SSU rRNA
Rfam family: Bacterial small subunit ribosomal RNA
Source: RNAcentral
AGAGUUUGAUCCUGGCUCAGAAUGAACGUUGGCGGCGUGGAUUAGGCAUGCAAGUCGAGCGAGGAGAUUUGUAGCAAUAUGAAUCAUUCGAGCGGCGUAAGGGGCAGUAAUACCUGGGAACGUACCCUGAGGUUGGGGAUAGCUGCUAGAAAUGGCGAGUAAUACCCGAUGAUCUCGAGAGAGCAAAGGCUUGCCGCCUUGGGAGCGGCCCAGGCGAUAUUAGCUAGUUGGUGAGGUAACGGCUUACCAAGGCAAAGAUGUCUAGCGGGUGUGAGAGCACGACCCGCGCCACUGGCACUGAGACACUGGCCAGACACCUACGGGUGGCUGCAGUCGAGAAUCUUCGGCAAUGAGCGCAAGCUUGACCGAGCGACGCCGCGUGCGGGAUGAAGGCCUUCGGGUUGUAAACCGCUUUGGUCCGAAAGAAAGGGUAAAACUUGAUCGAUCGGAGAAACAAGGACGGGCUAAGUUCGUGCCAGCAGCCGCGGUAAGACGAACCGUCCAAACGUUAUUCGGAAUCACUGGGCUUAAAGGGCGCGUAGGCGGCCGAGCGGGUCGUGGGUGAAAUCCUCCAGCUUAACUGGAGAACUGCUGACGAUACCACUGCGGCUCGAGGAAGGAAGGGGCAAUCGGAACUGUCGGUGGAGCGGUGAAAUGCGUUGAUAUCGACAGGAACGCCGGUGGCGAAAGCGGAUUGCUGGUCCUUUUCUGACGCUGAGGCGCGAAAGCCAGGGGAGCAAACGGGAUUAGAUACCCCGGUAGUCC